UACGUAGGGGGCUAGCGUUGCCCGGAUUUAUUGGGCGUAAAGAGCGUGUAGGCGGCCAGGUAGGUCUGCUGUGAAAACUCGAGGCUCAACCUCGAGACGUCGGCGGAAACCAUCUGGCUAGAGUCCGGAAGAGGAGAGUGGAAUUCCUGGUGUAGCGGUGAAAUGCGCAGAUAUCAGGAAGAACACCGAUGGCGAAGGCAGGUCUCUGGGCAUUAACUGACGCUGAGGAGCGAAAGCAUGGGGAGCGAACAGG
This 253-nucleotide ribosomal RNA is filed under the name uncultured bacterium. RNAcentral's name for it is "partial 16S ribosomal RNA". It matches the Rfam family "Bacterial small subunit ribosomal RNA", at positions 524 to 776 of the family's 1533-position model. The record is from RNAcentral.